UCUCCGUAGGUGAACCUGCGGAGGGAUCAUUACUGAGUUUUUAACUCUCCAAACCAUGUGAACUUACCACUGUUGCCUCGGUGGUCGGUGCUGGAAACAGUGCUGCCACCGGUGGACUACUAAACUCUUGUUUUUUUUAACACUGGCCUCUCUGAGUUUACUGUACUGUAAUAAGUCAAAACUUUCAACAACGGAUCUCUUGGUUCUG
RNAcentral lists this unclassified non-coding RNA (208 nucleotides) under root metagenome. Its description in RNAcentral is "partial contains small subunit ribosomal RNA, internal transcribed spacer 1, and 5.8S ribosomal RNA". The record is from RNAcentral.